UGCAUCCCAGCUUGUGACGUUCACGUUGGUGAGGCUGUGCCACACUCCAAAUGCUAUUUUCGACCAUCCGUCAGGGAUACAACAGUGAACUCCCUUUCCAUGUCGGAAACCAAGUAUUCGUGCUAUUCGAGUUUGGUUCAGGGAAUACUCGGUACCGAACAUUCUAAAUAUGGAGGCUCCGGUGAGAAAUUGAGUUGCACCGGGAGGGGUUAUAUAGGAG
RNAcentral lists this long non-coding RNA (220 nucleotides) under Lathyrus oleraceus (garden pea). Its description in RNAcentral is "Pisum sativum (pea) long non-coding RNA (PSAT_LNC028888)". The record is from RNAcentral. Lineage: Eukaryota; Viridiplantae; Streptophyta; Magnoliopsida; Fabales; Fabaceae.